UCCGGUUUGACACCGGCAGUCUCGCUAGAGUGCCCAGCAUUACCUGAUGGCAACUAACGACGAGGGUUGCGCUCGUUGCGGGACUUAACCCAACAUCUCACGACACGAGCUGACGACAGCCAUGCAGCACCUGUUUUCUGGGCCCCGAAGGGCACUCCCGUAUCUCUACAGGAUUCCAUCAAUGUCAAGUCUGGGUAAGGUUCUGCGCGUUGCGUCGAAUUAAACCACAUGCUCCACCGCUUGUGCGGGCCCCCGUCAAUUCCUUUGAGUCUCAGUCUUGCGACCGUACUCCCCAGGCGGCGAACUUAACGCGUUAGCUUCGAUACUGCGUGCCAAAUUGCACCCAACAUCCAGUUCGCAUCGUUUAGGGCGUGGACUAC
Molecule: unclassified non-coding RNA, 380 nt
Filed under: uncultured Pseudomonadota bacterium
Lineage: Bacteria; Pseudomonadati; Pseudomonadota
Description: uncultured proteobacterium contains 16S-23S intergenic spacer region
Source: RNAcentral